Molecule: long non-coding RNA, 595 nt
Organism: Portunus trituberculatus (swimming crab)
Lineage: Eukaryota; Metazoa; Arthropoda; Malacostraca; Decapoda; Portunidae
Exons: 3
Source: RefSeq, a predicted model, not a curated record
AGAAGGACGAAGCUCCGUGACUGCUGGUUCGGAUACUACUGUUCCUGCUUUGAGGCGCUUCAGGAUCUCAUUGCGACAGUUAUCAAAGGCCACAGAGAUGAUUACUCGAGUUAAAGUGACUACGAGCUAUCUUGGCGCUGAUGUUGCGGGUGCCCACUGUCUUGCCGUGAAGUUCCCUCACUGCAAUGUGGGCUGUCUCUAAAUCGGCGAACCUCACAAAUCUACAGGGAUGAGAAAACAGGACUGAUGAUUAUGUAGUUCAAGUUAUGGUUAAUCGGUUAUACAUAAUUCAUGCAUCGUCAGUGGGUUUUUUUUUAUAUCAUAUUCAUUAAUGAUAAACUUGUCGAAGCGAGCGGUCCUGGCGGGAAUGUCCACAUCCACCACCUCCCCAAGUCCUUCGCACAUGACUCUCAGCUGGUCCUCCCUGGUGCCAGCUGGUAAGUUGCGCACCACGACUGUCACUGCCUGGCUCUAGAAGAUAAAGACGGGGUGGACGGACGGGGGAAAAGAACGACUGAUUGAUUGACUGAUUCAUUUGUUGUGUUCUUAGGUAAGAGAGAUUAAAGCGAACAAAAAAAAAAAAAAAAAAAAAAAA